UGGACUCCAGGCACCCGGACUUUAAGGGAGGUGACUUAGUUUAGGGAAGAACAGGAUGGGAAGAAUACAGUCUCAUUACAAGACCUGAUCCCCUCUUUAAAAUCUCAAACUCUGAUGUACCUCUUUCCUACUAUACUGGAAUUCUUGGUGAGUUGAUUGUUAUCAUUUUCUGCUUUCAUGUCUGUGCCAUAAAUGAGUACUAAUGGGCA
Molecule: unclassified non-coding RNA, 209 nt
Filed under: Hevea brasiliensis (rubber tree)
Lineage: Eukaryota; Viridiplantae; Streptophyta; Magnoliopsida; Malpighiales; Euphorbiaceae
Source: RNAcentral